UGGCUUAAUGGUUAAGCGUUUGGCUACUAACCAGAAGUUCAGUGGUUCAAGCCCACC
Molecule: transfer RNA, 57 nt
Filed under: Loxodonta africana (African savanna elephant)
Lineage: Eukaryota; Metazoa; Chordata; Mammalia; Proboscidea; Elephantidae
Rfam family: tRNA
About the family: Transfer RNA (tRNA) molecules are approximately 80 nucleotides in length. Their secondary structure includes four short double-helical elements and three loops (D, anti-codon, and T loops).
Source: Rfam by way of RNAcentral